RNAcentral lists this ribosomal RNA (301 nucleotides) under uncultured bacterium. RNAcentral describes it as "partial 16S ribosomal RNA". It matches the Rfam family "Bacterial small subunit ribosomal RNA", at positions 509 to 808 of the family's 1533-position model. The record is from RNAcentral.
CAGUAGCCGCGGUAAUACGUAGGUGGCAAGCGUUGUCCGGAAUUAUUGGGCGUAAAGGGCUCGCAGGCGGUUUCUUAAGUCUGAUGUGAAAGCCCCCGGCUCAACCGGGGAGGGUCAUUGGAAACUGGGAAACUUGAGUGCAGAAGAGGAGAGUGGAAUUCCACGUGUAGCGGUGAAAUGCGUAGAGAUGUGGAGGAACACCAGUGGUGAAGGCGACUCUCUGGUCUGUAACUGACGCUGAGGAGCGAAAGCGUGGGGAGCGAACAGGAUUAGAUACCCCGAGUAGUCCCUGUCUCUUAUA